UAAAACCAUGAGUUCAGUUUGUUAUUUGUUUCUAGUGAAGAAGAUACUGCCUCCAGAUGAUCCAAAGAUGAUAGUUAAGACACAGAAGGGAAGACAAGAGGUGCAACAUGUUCCCAAUCCUUUGAAGACUGUGUAUAGUCAAACUGUGUGAAAGGACUCACAGAUAGCAGCCCUGCGUGUGUGAGUGGGCGCGGACCUCAUUCAGCAAUGAUUUCUAAUUUAUACAGCACCGAAAAUUCACAGCUAUAAAUAAACAGUUCUGACUGGCUCUGCUGCCUACUCAAAUGCUUUAUUAAAAAAAAAAAAAAAUAAAGCACCAACUCCAUUUGGA
Molecule: long non-coding RNA, 331 nt
Organism: Sarcophilus harrisii (Tasmanian devil)
Lineage: Eukaryota; Metazoa; Chordata; Mammalia; Dasyuromorphia; Dasyuridae
Source: Ensembl